UUUCUGACAUGUCAUUAAUGUUUCUGGCAUGUCAUUAAUGUUUCUGGCAUGUCAUUAAUGUUUCUGGCAUGUCAUUAAUGUUUCUGGCAUGUCAAUAAUGUUUCUGACAUGUCAUUAAUGUUUCUGACAUGUCAUUAAUGUUUCUGGCAUGUCAUUAAUGUUUCUGACAUGUCAUUAAUGUUUCUGACAUGUCAUUAAUGUUUCUGACAUGUCAAUAAUGUUUCUGGCAUGUCAUUAAUAUUUCCUGAUGACUCCUGUCCCAUUUACAUCAUAUGAGCAUGUUUUUUCUGCACUUGUCAUACACACAAUUAAAAAUACCCAUAAUGCACUCUCACCUGUUUGUGUGAACUAUCGUACACAUGUGUUAUAAUGUAAAACACUGACUGUGCUGUUCUCUUGACCGUUACAUAUAUUUUUUUGAAAGGCGGGGCCAUUCCAAAUACUGAGUGAUAAUUUUUUUUCUCCUUCCUGACAAUUACCAUGACAAUUGUCAUGGUAACAUAUUUGACAGACUUUGUUGACAUGGUAACGUAACAUGCUAGAGCCUCUGCUGUUCCCAUACGAUUCAGGUUUAACCGGCGUGAAUGAAUGUGCUUUGGUCUGAAAGCGAUCCAGAACGUUCUCAGGGCAGAAUGGAGCCCCCCCCCAGACCUAGCCUGGUCCCAGAUCUGUCCGUGCCUUCUUCUUGCCAACGCCUAUGGUCAUUGCCAGCCAAACAAUGCCCAUAGGAUUUGACACGACAGAACAAAUAGAUGUGGGACCAGGCUCCCUCAGACCCCCCCAGUGACUGUAUGAUGGACUGUGUGUUGUUCUGUAUGUAAGAUGUGUGAUCGAUAUGGACAGAGUUUUGAAAAGUCAUUGAGAACAUUCCACUCCAAAACCAUGAAGAAAGUUUUUUCACAAAGUCAUUGUAGGAUCCUCAUGCGAUUUCACUCACUUUAAUUCAUCUUCAAAGAAUGUCCUCUAAAAAUGUAUUGUUGCUGAAAUGCUUUAGUGAAAUAAAUAUGUCAUGUAAAAUGCAACUUCAACAUGAGGGCUUAGAGGAAUCUGGCAACUUCAACAUGAGGUCUUAGAGGAAUCUGGCAACUUCAACAUGAGGUCUUAGAGGAAUCUGGCAACUUCAACAUGAGGUCUUAGAGGAAUCUGGCAACUUCAACAUGAGGUCUUAGAGGAAUCUGGCAACUUCAACAUGAGGUCUUAGAGGAAUCUGGCAACUUCAACAUGAGGUCUUAGAGGAAUCUGGCAACUUCAACAUGAGGUCUUAGAGGAAUCUGGCAACUUCAACAUGAGGGCUUAGAGGAAUCUGGCAACUUCAACAUGAGGUCUUAGAGGAAUCUGGCAACUUCAACAUGAGGUCUUAGAGGAAUCUGGCAACUUC
Long non-coding RNA from Oncorhynchus gorbuscha (pink salmon), 1378 nucleotides. RefSeq lists it as uncharacterized. Lineage: Eukaryota; Metazoa; Chordata; Actinopteri; Salmoniformes; Salmonidae. The record is from RefSeq and is a predicted model, not a curated record. The transcript has 2 exons.